GGACGAACGCUGGCGGCGUGCUUAACACAUGCAAGUCGAACGGAAAGGCCCUGCUUUUGUGGGGUGCUCGAGUGGCGAACGGGUGAGUAACACGUGAGUAACCUGCCCUUGACUUUGGGAUAACUUCAGGAAACUGGGGCUAAUACCGGAUAGGAGCUCCUGCUGCAUGGUGGGGGUUGGAAAGUUUCGGCGGUUGGGGAUGGACUCGCGGCUUAUCAGCUUGUUGGUGGGGUAGUGGCUUACCAAGGCUUUGACGGGUAGCCGGCCUGAGAGGGUGACCGGCCACAUUGGGACUGAGAUACGGCCCAGACUCCUACGGGAGGCAGCAGUGGGGAAUAUUGCACAAUGGGCGGAAGCCUGAUGCAGCAACGCCGCGUGCGGGAUGACGGCCUUCGGGUUGUAAACCGCUUUCGCCUGUGACGAAGCGUGAGUGACGGUAAUGAGUAAAGAAGCACCGGCUAACUACGUG
Molecule: ribosomal RNA, 469 nt
Filed under: uncultured bacterium
Lineage: Bacteria
Description: partial 16S ribosomal RNA
Rfam family: Bacterial small subunit ribosomal RNA
Source: RNAcentral